Molecule: ribosomal RNA, 55 nt
Filed under: Lasiodiplodia pseudotheobromae
Lineage: Eukaryota; Fungi; Ascomycota; Dothideomycetes; Botryosphaeriales; Botryosphaeriaceae
Description: partial 18S ribosomal RNA
Source: RNAcentral
CAUUACCGAGUUUUCGGGCUUCGGCUCGACUCUCCCACCCUUUGUGAACGUACCU